UGCUGUGUGGCUGUCGUCAGCUCAUGUCGUGAGAUGUUUGGUCAAGUCCUAUAACGAGCGAAACCCUCGUUUUGUGUUGCUGAGACAUGCGCCUAAGGAGAAAUUGUGGUACGUAGUGGUAAUAGUACACGCCCCGCUCCGAAACAAAGAAAAAGGUGCGUGCCGCACUCACGAAGGACUGCCAGUGAGAUACUGGAGGAAGGUGGGGAUGACGUCAAGUCCGCAUGGC
This 229-nucleotide ribosomal RNA is filed under the name Oryza sativa Japonica Group (Japanese rice). Its description in RNAcentral is "rRNA SSU_rRNA_eukarya". It matches the Rfam family "Bacterial small subunit ribosomal RNA", at positions 1039 to 1199 of the family's 1533-position model. Lineage: Eukaryota; Viridiplantae; Streptophyta; Magnoliopsida; Poales; Poaceae. The record is from RNAcentral.